RNAcentral lists this ribosomal RNA (475 nucleotides) under Staphylococcus aureus. Its description in RNAcentral is "partial 23S ribosomal RNA". It matches the Rfam family "Bacterial large subunit ribosomal RNA", at positions 2073 to 2547 of the family's 2925-position model. Lineage: Bacteria; Bacillati; Bacillota; Bacilli; Caryophanales; Staphylococcaceae. The record is from RNAcentral.
CGACAGGACGGAAAGACCCCGUGGAGCUUUACUGUAGCCUGAUAUUGAAAUUCGGCACAGCUUGUACAGGAUAGGUAGGAGCCUUUGAAACGUGAGCGCUAGCUUACGUGGAGGCGCUGGUGGGAUACUACCCUAGCUGUGUUGGCUUUCUAACCCGCACCACUUAUCGUGGUGGGAGACAGUGUCAGGCGGGCAGUUUGACUGGGGCGGUCGCCUCCUAAAAGGUAACGGAGGCGCUCAAAGGUUCCCUCAGAAUGGUUGGAAAUCAUUCAUAGAGUGUAAAGGCAUAAGGGAGCUUGACUGCGAGACCUACAAGUCGAGCAGGGUCGAAAGACGGACUUAGUGAUCCGGUGGUUCCGCAUGGAAGGGCCAUCGCUCAACGGAUAAAAGCUACCCCGGGGAUAACAGGCUUAUCUCCCCCAAGAGUUCACAUCGACGGGGAGGUUUGGCACCUCGAUGUCGGCUCAUCGCAUCC